CAAGAAGAUAGUCAUUUCGGCAUUCCUCCGGAAGGCUUUGGACUGGUGGAGAUAUCCUGUUCACCUCCACAGAGGGUUUCCUCUAGGAGUGCAGUAGACAUUGCUUACCUAGAUUUCAGUAAGGCUUUUGACACUGUUGCACAUAGAAGGCUUAUCAAUAAACUGCAAUCUUUAAGUUUGGAUUCUAAUAUUGUUGAAUGGGUAAUGCAGUGGCUGAGUGACAGGCAACAGAGGGUUGUAGUCAAUGGAGUAUAUUCGAAGCUUGGGCUUGUCACCAGUGGGGUACCUCAGGGAUCUGUACUUGGACCCAUUCUCUUUAAUAUUUUUAUUAGUGAUAUUGCAGAAGGACUUGAUGGUAAGGUAUGUCUUUUUGCUGAUGAUACUAAGAUAUGUAACAGGGUUGAUGUUCCAGGAGGGAUAAGCCAAAUGGCA
This is a non-coding RNA of Pelobates cultripes (western spadefoot toad), 432 nucleotides long. NCBI's taxonomy places the organism in Eukaryota, Metazoa, Chordata, Amphibia, Anura, Pelobatidae. The record is from the annotation of a GenBank genome assembly.